AGUGAACGCUGGCGGUAGGCCUAACACAUGCAAGUCGAACGGCAGCACAGUAAGAGCUUGCUCUUACGGGUGGCGAGUGGCGGACGGGUGAGGAAUACAUCGGAAUCUACUUUUUCGUGGGGGAUAACGUAGGGAAACUUACGCUAAUACCGCAUACGACCUACGGGUGAAAGCAGGGGAUCUUCGGACCUUGCGCGAUUGAAUGAGCCGAUGUCGGAUUAGCUAGUUGGCGGGGUAAAGGCCCACCAAGGCGACGAUCCGUAGCUGGUCUGAGAGGAUGAACAGCCACACUGGAACUGAGACACGGUCCAGACUCCUACGGGAGGCAGCAGUGGGGAAUAUUGGACAAUGGGGGAAAGCCUGAUCCAGCCAUACCGCGUGGGUGAAGAAGGCCUUCGGGUUGUAAAGCCCUUUUGUUGGGAAAGAAAAGCAGCAGGUUAAUACCCCGCUGUUCUGACGGUACCCAAAGAAUAAGCACCGGCUAACUUCGUG
RNAcentral lists this ribosomal RNA (492 nucleotides) under uncultured bacterium. Its description in RNAcentral is "partial 16S ribosomal RNA". It matches the Rfam family "Bacterial small subunit ribosomal RNA", at positions 29 to 507 of the family's 1533-position model. The record is from RNAcentral.